Molecule: long non-coding RNA, 1927 nt
Filed under: Malus domestica (apple)
Lineage: Eukaryota; Viridiplantae; Streptophyta; Magnoliopsida; Rosales; Rosaceae
Description: long non-coding RNA (MDOM_LNC004814)
Source: RNAcentral
CCACUAGACAUCUUAAACGUACCUACAUUUAUUUUUCAUGAAAAUUAGACAAAUAUUUUUUGGCCAAAAAAUAUAGUAGUGAUGACGGUUAUAUAAGAGAACCUAAAUAAUAAAGUUAUUGUACAGAAGAAUUAAAUACGAAGUAAAGAAAAUGAUUGUAAAAAUUUAAGUAAUUAAAAAAAUAAUAUGGAUUAAUAAAACCUAAUAUUAAUGAAUAAUAAUCCAAUUUGAUAAAAAAAUAAUCCUAAUAUAAAACAUAGUGAUGAAUAAUAAUCCAAUUUGAUAAUAAUCCAAUUUAAUGAAUAAUCCAAUUUGAUAAUAAUCCAAUUUAAUGAAUAAUCCAAUUUGAUAAUAAUAAAAAACCUAAUAUUAAUGAAUAAUAAUCCAAUUUGAUAAAAAAAAUAAUCCUAAUAUAAAACAUAGUGAUGAAUAAUAAUCCAAUUUAAUGAAUAAUCCAAUUUGAUAAUAAUCCAAUUUAAUGAAUAAUCCAAUUUGAUAAUAAUAAAAAACCUAAUAUUAAUGAAUAAUAAUCCAAUUUGAUAAAAAAAUAAUCCUAAUAUAAAACAUAGUGAUGAAUAAUAAUCCAAUUUGAUAAUAAUCCAAUUUAAUAAUAAUCCAAUUUAAUGAAUAGUCCAAUUUGAUAAUAAGCCAAUUUAAUGAAUAAUCCAAUUUAAUGAAUAAUAAUCCAAUUUAACAAUAAUCCAAUUUAAUGAAUAGUCCAAUUUGAUAAUAAGCCAAUUUAAUGAAUAAUCCAAUUUAAUGAAUAAUAAUCGAAUUUAACAAUAAUCCAAUUUAAUGAAUAGUCCAAUUUGAUAAUAAGCCAAUUUAAUGAAUAAUCCAAUUUAACAAUAAUCUAAUUUAAUGAAUAGUCCAAUUUGAUAAUAAGCCAAUUUAAUGAAUAAUCCAAUUUAAUUAAUAAUAAUCCAAUUUGAUAAUAAUCUAAUUUAAUGAAUAAUAAUCCAAUUUGAUAAUAAAACCUAAUAUUAAUAAAAUAAUAAAUAACAUUAAACAUAUUAAAAUAAUCCUAGGGAAUAAUUAUACAACAUUACUUAAUUACUUAAAAAAAUUAACAUGUAAUUGUUAACAUUACUUAAUUACUUACAAAAAUUAACAUACGAGUCCAUACAAAUUUAUUUGUUGUUGUAUAAAUUACAAUAAUAUAAAUAUAAGUUUGUAAACUUACCUUAAAUAUGAAACCCUUUGUGUUCAAGCUUUGGAAUAGAUCUGGAAUGGCUUUGAAAAUGGUAAGGGAAAUAAAAUAAUAAAUAACAUUAAACAUAUUAAAAUAAUCCUAGGGAAUAAUUAUACAACAUUACUUAAUUACUUUAAAAAAAUUAACAUGUAAUUGUUAACAUUACUUAAUUACUUACAAAAAUUAACAUGCAAGUAUUAAUUACUUAAAAAAAAUUAACAUACAAGUCCAUACAAAUUUAUUUGUUGUUGUAUAAAUUACAAUAAUAUAAAUAUAAGUUUGUAAACUUACCUUAAAUAUGGAACCCUUUGUGUUCAAGCUUUGGAAUGGAUCUGGAAUGACUUUGAAAAUGGUAAGGGAAGAAGAAGAAACGAAAAUGCUCUGAGGGAAUGCCUCUGAUACUCCACCUCUGAUAAGGUUUUGCACAUGCUCUGAGGGAAUAUAAGUAUAUAACAGAGAGUGGAACAUGGUUUUGCAUGUGAAAGCAUAUCACAGACUCACAGUGACACACGGUUUCAUUAUUAAAGUUCUAUUAUUCGUUGUCCAUUGUCUGCAAUUGUAAAAAGUGAUUGAAAAAUUAGUGAGGUGAGUCAGAUGGGGUCAAUCAACCACAGAGGCACACACACAGACAUGCUAUUAUUCGUUGUCCAUUGUCUGCAAUUGUAAAAAGUGAUUGAAAAAUUCAUGAGGUGAGUCAGAUGGGGUCACUCAACCACAGAGGCACACACACACACA